AUGGGAACGCGAAGAACCUUACCUACUCUUGACAUCCAGAGAACUUUCCAGAGAUGGAUUGGUGCCUUCGGGAACUCUGAGACAGGUGCUGCAUGGCUGUCGUCAGCUCGUGUUGUGGAAUGUUGGGUUAAGUCCCGCAACGAGCGCAACCCGUUAUCCUUUGUUGCCAGCGAUUCGGUCGGGAACUCAAAGGAGACUGCCAGUGAUAAACUGGAGGAAGGUGGGGAUGACGUCAAGUCAUCAUGGCCCUUACGAGUAGGGCUACACACGUGCUACAAUGGCGCAUACAAAGAGAAGCGACCUCGCGAGAGCAAGCGGACCUCAUAAAGUGCGUCGUAGUCCGGAUUGGAGUCUGCAACUCGACUCCAUGAAGUCGGAAUCGCUAGUAAUCGUAGAU
Molecule: ribosomal RNA, 397 nt
Filed under: uncultured bacterium
Lineage: Bacteria
Description: bacterial SSU rRNA
Rfam family: Bacterial small subunit ribosomal RNA
Source: RNAcentral